ACCACUUUUACCCCUGUUUUUGUCCUUGUAGCAUUCAACAAUCCCUUCCCUGCAUCGCGCACCAAGUUCCCCUUCACCUGUUAAUUCCCAACGUUAUUGUUUUCACAUAUAUAAGAACAUAAUGAAUGACAAAACGAACAUACAUAACACGAAAAUGAACAAUAUUUUUUCAAUUACCCUGUUGGAUCGCCUAACUUCUAUAUUGCCAACGACAACGUCACUAACAUUGUUGCCUUGGACCUUUGCAUUUUCUUUUCCCGCACCAAUAUCAAGCUGAAUGAAAACAGUAAAAACUUCAAAUAAUGAAUUUUAUUUUUGUUGCCCCAAUCAUAUGUAAUUAUAGAGAGUAAAUACCUCAUCAUCCUUUGUUGAUUUACCCUCCUGAACUCCAACAUGUUUCAACUCCUCAACCACGGCCAUGUAAUUGUCCAAGUCUCCUUAAUCAUUUACAUCAAUCCUUUCUUCAGCCUGUACAUUUCCAUUGAUCACCACAUCCUUACACACAUAUAAUUGAAAUGCUUUAUGUUUUAUCUUUAAAAAUAAAAGCUUAUUUUGACAGAAAAGUAUUGUAUUUGGCAGUAACCUAGUAUUUUACCUCAGCCGUAGUGGUAGUUCUGCCCACUACUCUGUCAUUCUGG
This 638-nucleotide long non-coding RNA is filed under the name Salvia miltiorrhiza (redroot sage). RNAcentral's name for it is "long non-coding RNA (SMIL_LNC005195)". The record is from RNAcentral. Lineage: Eukaryota; Viridiplantae; Streptophyta; Magnoliopsida; Lamiales; Lamiaceae.